Molecule: transfer RNA, 75 nt
Filed under: Gimesia fumaroli
Lineage: Bacteria; Pseudomonadati; Planctomycetota; Planctomycetia; Planctomycetales; Planctomycetaceae
Description: Planctomycetes bacterium Enr17 tRNA-Met
Rfam family: tRNA
About the family: Transfer RNA (tRNA) molecules are approximately 80 nucleotides in length. Their secondary structure includes four short double-helical elements and three loops (D, anti-codon, and T loops).
Source: RNAcentral
CGCCGGUUAGGGAAGUUCGGCCAUCCCGCUUGACUCAUAAUCAAGAGAUCGCUGGUUCAAAUCCAGCACCGGCCA